RNAcentral lists this ribosomal RNA (665 nucleotides) under Oxystomina sp. TCR68. RNAcentral describes it as "eukaryotic LSU rRNA". It matches the Rfam family "Eukaryotic large subunit ribosomal RNA", at positions 404 to 900 of the family's 3401-position model. The record is from RNAcentral. Lineage: Eukaryota; Metazoa; Nematoda; Enoplea; Enoplida; Oxystominidae.
ACCGCAUAGAAGUAAAGAGAUAGAGCUGCAAUGUCGCUUCCAAGGCUCAGCUUGACGGCACUGGGUGUUCGGGGCACAGAUCGUAUGACUGGGCUUCGUUCGUACCGGUGUUUGUUUAGUGCACUUCUUGGGAGUGAGCACUGCGACCGGUAUCUGUGCUGGUAGAAGUUCGAGUUAUCGCGGGCAGACCAAUUCGGUAUCUGUUUCUCAUUUCUCGAAGCCUACCUGGUUGCGGGGACCGUGGAACUUUGCGCUGGCUUGUCUCGGACUGUUUGGUAGGACGUCAACUGAAAGUCUGCCAUCUGCUUGCAGGUGGUGGUAACCCUUGGCGUUUGUAACAAGCUUUCCCGACUUGUCGCGAGGUGUCAGCAGUGUAUGUGUCAGCCACCUAUUUCACCCGUCUUGAAACACGGACCAAGGAGUCUAACAUGUGCGCAAGUCAUUGGGUGCCAAACCCAAAGGCGCAAUGAAAGUAAGCUUCACUUGUGAAGUCAAGCAGGAUCUCCAUUCGUGGAGCGCACUGCUGUCCUGUCUUAUUUGCAUCGCCAAUUAGGCAGAGAAAGAGCGUACCUGUUAGGACCCGAAAGAUGGUGAACUAUGCCUGAGCAGGAUGAAGCCAGAGGAAACUCUGGUGGAGGUCCGUAGCGAUUCUGACGUGCAAAUCG